Long non-coding RNA from Suricata suricatta (meerkat), 531 nucleotides. RefSeq lists it as uncharacterized. The record is from RefSeq and is a predicted model, not a curated record. The transcript is spliced from 4 exons. NCBI's taxonomy places the organism in Eukaryota, Metazoa, Chordata, Mammalia, Carnivora, Herpestidae.
AGUCACCCUCGGUUUUGAUUGGAGCAUAUUUAGGCUGUUCACAGCUGGACUAACCAGUUCCCCCUCACAGAGUUCUGACACCUUGGCAGCAUGUGAAAGAAAGAAGGUAACCGCACACUGCAGAGAUCUAAUCAACAUCCUGAAGUAGACAGAGGACCUGACCUCGUCACAGUAUUGGUUGCCAUCAACACUGGUUGAGAAGUCUGCCUGUGCAGCCAAGGUUGAAAGCCAACAGGACUCGUAAACCUGCAAACCAUGCCGGAUGGAAUCACUUCAAACUUGUCCUUCUGAAGGGGCUGAGAAAAAGAGGGAAGAAAAAAAUUCGGGUAACUUCCAGAAGUCUGCAACUUGCUUCAGCAAUCUAAGAAUAGAGUGUUUCUAAAUUUUCCAAGAAAACAUUUUAUGCACGUAUACACCAUUACUUCGUAGUUAAAAGUUUAAGGCAAUUUUAGUACUGAAGACUUGAGGUCGUGAUUUAUAAAAAUUGACAAUAUGAAAUGAGAAAAAUAUAAAAUACUUAUUAACCUUUUA